Triticum aestivum (bread wheat) is the source of this 123-nucleotide non-coding RNA. NCBI's taxonomy places the organism in Eukaryota, Viridiplantae, Streptophyta, Magnoliopsida, Poales, Poaceae. The record is from Rfam.
CAACUACUCCCUCUGUCCCAAAUUUCUUGUCUUAGAUUUGUCUAGAUACGGAUGUAAUGUGACUUGAUACAUCCGUAUCUAGACAAAUCUAACACAAGAAUUUUGGGACGGAGGGAGUACUUU